Molecule: ribosomal RNA, 884 nt
Filed under: Pleomassaria acericola
Lineage: Eukaryota; Fungi; Ascomycota; Dothideomycetes; Pleosporales; Pleomassariaceae
Description: LSU rRNA
Rfam family: Eukaryotic large subunit ribosomal RNA
Source: RNAcentral
CUAAGCAUAUCAAUAAGCGGAGGAAAAGAAACCAACAGGGAUUGCCCCAGUAACGGCGAGUGAAGCGGCAACAGCUCAAAUUUGAAAUCUGGCCCCAUGCCGGGGUCCGAGUUGUACUUUGCAGAGGGCGCUUUGGCGUCGGCAGCAGUCUAAGUUCCUUGGAACAGGACGUCACAGAGGGUGAGAAUCCCGUACGUGAUUGCGUGCCUUCGCCGUGUAAAGCCCCUUCGACGAGUCGUGUUGUUUGGGAAUGCAGCACUAAAUGGGAGGUAAAUUUCUUCUAAAGCUAAAUACUGGCCAGAGACCGAUAGCGCACAAGUAGAGUGAUCGAAAGAUGAAAAGCACUUUGGAAAGAGAGUCAAACAGCACGUGAAAUUGUUGAAAGGGAAGCGCUUGCAGCCAGACUUGCGUGCGGUUGCUCAUCCGGGCUCUUGCCCGGUGCACUCUUCCGCAGGCAGGCCAGCAUCAGUUUGGGCGGCUGGAGAAAGGCCUCUGUCAUGUACCUUCCCUCGGGAAGGCCUUAUAGGGGAGGCGUAAUGCAGCCAGCCUGAACUGAGGUCCGCGCAUCUGCUAGGAUGCUGGCGUAAUGGCUGUAAGCGGCCCGUCUUGAAACACGGACCAAGGAGUCUAACAUCUAUGCGAGUGUUUGGGUGUCAAGCCCGAGCGCGCAAUGAAAGUGAACGGAGGUGGGAACCUUUUGGGUGCACCAUCGACCGAUCCUGAUGUCUUCGGAUGGAUUUGAGUAAGAGCAUAGCUGUUGGGACCCGAAAGAUGGUGAACUAUGCUUGAAUAGGGUGAAGCCAGAGGAAACUCUGGUGGAGGCUCGCAGCGGUUCUGACGUGCAAAUCGAUCGUCAAAUUUGGGCAUAGGGGCGAAAGACUAAU